UGUUUUCUAGUUUUCAAUUGGUUAUAGUAAGGGACAGCAAGUCCUUAAGACAGGCCAGCAUUCACCCACCCACCUCAUGGAAGGUGUGACAGGACACAGGCAAACCCAUAACUGCUAACUCGUUUCCUGUUAAGGCAGGUGCACUGAACAGCCUAGUAACUUUUCUUGAGCACAAGGUACAGAUUAAGAUUUGGCCUGAGAAAGAACAUAGAGCAUUUCUCUCGGGAAGAAAGCUAACACCAUGCUGAUCACCAGCCUGCUGAGAGCAGCCAUUGCCUCCAUCUGUCUUGAAGCCAGCAUGUCUCAGAAGGUAACUCAGGCUCAGACUGAAAUUUGUAUCAUGGAGAAGAAGAAUGUGACAUUGGACUGUGUUUAUGAAACUCGCGAAACUACUUACUACUUAUUCUGGUACAAGCAAACCCCAAGUAGGGAAAUGGUUUUCCUUGUUCGCCAGGACUCUUAUAAUGAGGAAAAUGCAACAGAGGGUCGCUAUUCUCUGAACUUCCAGAAAUCUGCCAGCUACAUUGGACUCACCAUCACAGCCACAUGGGUUCAGGAUGCAGCAGUAUAUUUCUGUGCUCUGAGGGAGAGCACAGUGAGAGGAGUGUCUACGGGAGUCCCACAAAAACCCCAACAAGAGAUAGAGACCCUGGGGAGACACUUCACACAGAGAGGAGGAAGCAGGGGCUGUAGUAGUACAGGGGGCACCUAG
Molecule: non-coding RNA, 712 nt
Organism: Nannospalax galili (Upper Galilee mountains blind mole rat)
Lineage: Eukaryota; Metazoa; Chordata; Mammalia; Rodentia; Spalacidae
Source: the annotation of a RefSeq genome assembly